Molecule: non-coding RNA, 213 nt
Organism: Solanum lycopersicum (tomato)
Lineage: Eukaryota; Viridiplantae; Streptophyta; Magnoliopsida; Solanales; Solanaceae
Source: RefSeq, a predicted model, not a curated record
GCUGUUCUCAUAAUGUUUUUACUGAUGUAAGGAAAGAAACUCGAGCAGUUUGACUUACAAGGUACCAGCAAACUUAGUGCUGACAUGACUCUGAUCCCCAGACGUGGAAUUGCUCGUGCAAGUAGGUAAGACCACGAGCUGUGCCAAUGAUUAUAUCAUACCGUUGCUUCCAGUUGAGCAUCCCUUGUUUGUCACCUGCAAAACCAUGAAAGG